Molecule: ribosomal RNA, 253 nt
Filed under: uncultured bacterium
Lineage: Bacteria
Description: partial 16S ribosomal RNA
Rfam family: Bacterial small subunit ribosomal RNA
Source: RNAcentral
UACGUAGGGCGCAAGCGUUGUCCGGAAUUAUUGGGCGUAAAGAGCUCGUAGGUGGCGUGUCGCGUCUGCCGUGAAAGCCCAUGGCUUUACUGUGGGUCUGCGGUGGAUACGGGCAGGCUGGAGGCUGGUAGGGGCAAGCGGAAUUCCUGGUGUAGCGGUGAAAUGCGCAGAUAUCAGGAGGAACACCGGUGGCGAAGGCGGCUUGCUGGGCCAGUUCUGACGCUGAGGAGCGAAAGCGUGGGGAGCGAACAGG